This 489-nucleotide ribosomal RNA is filed under the name uncultured bacterium. RNAcentral describes it as "partial 16S ribosomal RNA". It matches the Rfam family "Bacterial small subunit ribosomal RNA", at positions 28 to 507 of the family's 1533-position model. The record is from RNAcentral.
GACGAACGCUGGCGGCGUGCUUAACACAUGCAAGUCGAACGGAAAGGCCCCCACCUUGGUGGGGGUGCUCGAGUGGCGAACGGGUGAGUAACACGUGGGUGAUCUGCCCUGUACUUCGGGAUAAGCUUGGGAAACUGGGUCUAAUACCGGAUGGGACCAUGGUUUAGUGUCUCAUGGUGGAAAAAUUAUUGUUUUGGUGCAGGAUGAGCUCGCGGCCUAUCAGCUUGUUGGUGGGGUAAUGGCCUACCAAGGCGUCGACGGGUAGCCGGCCUGAGAGGGUGGACGGCCACAUUGGGACUGAGAUACGGCCCAGACUCCUACGGGAGGCAGCAGUGGGGAAUAUUGCACAAUGGGCGCAAGCCUGAUGCAGCGACGCCGCGUGGGGGAUGACGGCCUUCGGGUUGUAAACUCCUUUCGUUAGGGACGAAGCCACACCUUUUUUGGGUGUGGUGACGGUACCUUUGUUAAGAAGCACCGGCUAACUACGUG